RNAcentral lists this long non-coding RNA (2145 nucleotides) under Trifolium pratense (red clover). RNAcentral's name for it is "long non-coding RNA (TPRA_LNC002367)". The record is from RNAcentral. Lineage: Eukaryota; Viridiplantae; Streptophyta; Magnoliopsida; Fabales; Fabaceae.
UCAGUUUCUCAAAAAAGGUAUGUUUGAUUUAUGUAUGUUACAAGAAACAAAGAGGGCACAUUUUGAUGAUUCUAUGAUUCAUAAUUUGUGGGGGCAUCAAGAUGUUCACUGGGCGGCUAAGGAGGCGGUAGGACCAUCUGGAGGUAUUUUAACAAUCUGGAACUCUGACUUAUUCAAAUUGCUAAAUAUCUUUUAUGGUGACGGCUUUGUGGGGAUUUGUGUUGAUUGGGAGGGUAUGAGGGUGAACAUUGUUAAUGUGUACUCUCCUUGNNNNNNNNNNNNNNNNNNNNNNNNNNNNNNNNNNNNNNNNNNNNNNNNNNNNNNNNNNNNNNNNNNNNNNNNNNNNNNNNNNNNNNNNNNNNNNNNNNNNNNNNCAUAUCGUUGCUAUAAGUGCCGUUGCAAAAAGUUUUGCAACAACAUUCAGCGUCGCUGCUAUUGCUUAUGUUUUCACAACAACUAUUAUUGUUGCUAUUGUAACAAGUAUAUUGAUGUCUUAUGUAACAUUUCUUAACGGCUAAAGUCGCCGCGAUAAAGUAUUAAUUACCAACAAACAAAAUUGCUGCCAUAUGUAACAUGUCUUAACGAUCAAAAUUGAUAUGACAAUAAUUUGUUUUAUAUCAAAUAUUCAUAAGGUAGAAAUUACCACUUUCAAUCUUGAAUCGUAAAUUGAUUUAGCAUAUAAAUUUUUAUAUAUAAUUUUAAAUUUUAUUUUGUUAACUUUGAUAACAUUUUUUUUAUGAGAUUCAUUUACUUUAGUAAUAAAGUUCUUCAAACUUCAUAUACCAUCAUCUAUUUUUUCGAAUGAACCUUAAUUUAUGUCUUAUACAAUGUCAUCUCUUUCUCUCAAACCUUUUACCUCUUCGUGGGGUUUGAAUUUUCUUUUGCGGCUUCAUUCUUCAUUGGAAUCACAACUAAGAAAAGAAAUUAAAUAAGAUGACAUAAUAACAUACAAAAAGAAGAUUGAGAAAAUUUUGAAUGGUGAGGAUGAAUAUAGUUAAAGAGAGAAUUUAUUCCACCUCUUACCUCUUUUAGAAAUGAUAUAUUGUUUCUUGGUUCUUCUAUCAUGUCACAUAAUUUUAAAAGUGAAAUGAUACGAUUAUUUUUCCUUCGUGAAAGUGAGUUUAUGUUAAUAAACUAUUUAAAGAUAUAGACCAUUGGAUUGAAAAUUAUUAACGGCUGAGAAUAGAUGACACAAUUCACACGGAUCACUACCAAGGAACAUGUGCAAUUUUUAUGGUUGAAGGAAUGCUCUAUAUAUAUGUGCGGUUACUUUUGUCAAAAAAAUAUGUGCGGUUACUCAUUGUUUUUACAUGCGGUUUUCUUCCACUAUAGGCUCAUGCUAUAUUAUUCAGUUAUUUAUUUUUUUUAAAAAAUGUUGAAUGCUGAUCCACUAUGAUGUCUUGAACGUGGGAUUCAUUUUUUUUUAUCAAACUUGAACGUGGGAUUCUAAUAUAUAGCAUCAAUUGUAUUUUUUAUUUUUUUUAUUAAAAAAAAUUGCAUCAAUCUCUUCCUAUUUUUCUUUUCUUUUUUGGGAAAUUGGGAUAUUUUAAUAUAUAAUAACAAAUUAAUUUUUUUUACCAAACUAUGUAACUCUUUUUAUAAAAACUUCUUUCGGUGAUUAUUUUUUAGACAAAGUAAUUCACAUUUUAAAAUAUUAUUAUUAAUUUAUGGUAUUUUAGAAAAAGUUUAAAUAUAUAUAUUUUUCUCAAAAGUUUAAAUAUAUUUAUGGUAUUUUAGAAAAAGUUAAAAUACUAUUCUCUCACUCCAAAAAAAAUUACAAAAAAAAUAUAUAUUUUCUCAAUGACUAGGCUUAUUGUUGCCAAAAAUAUAUAAUUCCCAACGACAAGUUAAGUUGUUGUAAAAAGGUUGGGUUAUUCCCAUCGACUUUAAGUUGUUAUUGGGAUAAGUUGUUUUUACCAACAAUAUUAAAAUUGUUGACAAUAUUUUUUUCUAAUUGCAACGACUUGAAAAUAUUGUUGCUACAUGUAUAUUUUUACCAGCAAAUUUAUUGUUGUUAGUAUAAAGUCGCUGUAAAAUGUCUUAAUUCUUGUAGUGGCGGUAGGACCAUCUGGAGGUAUUUUAACAAUCUGGAACUCUGACUUAUUCAAAUUGCUAAAUAUCUUUUAUGGUGACGGCUUUGUGGGG